GUGGGCUCUGUGCUGACAGGCUGACAGCAGUGGGCCCAAUGUGGGGCUCGAACCCACGAAUGGCGAGAUCGUGACCUGAGCCGAAACCGGUCGCUCAACCGACGGAGCCACCCAGGUGCCCCCAGAAAUCGGAAGUUUAAUUUGGCACAACUACUGUCGCAGCCAAGAAGCAGGAGAAAAUCUGAAGUCAAGGACCUGAUCCGUUCAGUCCUUCUGGUGGUUGGAGAAGAGGACGCAAUUCAACCUAUGAUAGCCUACCUCAUGCUGUCGUACCCAGACUGCUUUCCAUUGCCUACAAAACUUACAAAGAUGCAACAAGCUGGAUCCAUCAUUCAAACUACCCAUCUGAUACAAAAAAAAAAAAAAAAGUGUGUGCAUCCAAAGUGUCCUCUGAAAGAACGACAUGUAAGCAGAGAGAAGCUGUUAACCUGGAGGCUUCAUAUUAAAUGGGAAAUGGAAACAGCAGAGCCAAUUAUAGGUACAUUUCUGCUUGUUGAGGAGACUUCAAAAUAGAAGUUUUUUUUAAAAAUCUGCCUCUAAAGAUUUUCUUUUCAGUAAAACUGAAAAAAAUAUGUGAUAGGCCAUAUAUAAAAAAGAACAUCCAUCCUGCCUGCCAAAGUAAUCGUUCACUUCCCCUUCCCAGAUUCCAGGCACAGGAUAAUUGCCUCUCGGAGAUGCUUUGUUGUUUUAGGCGUUCUAAAUAAACCUCUCUCCGGUGGCCCCUCUUAACAGCAGCACCCCCCAGGAACCCGCCAUUGAGCCUUGAAACUGUAAUUUGUUUCAGGCACUCCGAGCAAAAUACAUUGUCUCCCAAUCUCUAAACUUGAUAAUUAGGUGUAUUUAGUUAGAGUUAAAAAUAAAAUAAAGUGGAAAGUUAUCCAGGUGCAAGUUAUCAACCUGAAGAGAUGGCAGAACAGAGCGGGGGACUUCAGAAAGCAGACACAUUUUUGGUGCGCGUCACAUGUUGCAGACACUUUGCUGAGUGCUUUAUCCAACGUACCUCUUACUUCUUCCCAGUGAUCCGUUUAGGUAUGUAUUUUAUGGAUGUUGAGGGAGCGGAAAUGACUUAUGCACCAAGUAAAUGGUAGAAGUGGGAGUCAAACCCACAUUUGUUUGAGUCCAAAGCUUACAUUCCUUCCACUCAUUUCCAGCAAUUGAGGCAUAGGAAGAGAAUGUGCAGAGCAUGCCAAUUUAAUUUUUUAACCCAUUGCAUUCUGGUCCCUGGCGUCUUGAUAUCAGAAUUCUGUCUCUGCUACAUCUCACCCUGCACCCUUGACCCAUAAAGCCUUUACAGGCAUUCUAGUAUCCAUUCUUUAGGGCGUGCUAUUCUUGCCUAGAAUGUCCAUUUCUGCUCCUCUCUCUCCGCAAGGUUCUUAACUAGGUGCAGUGACACUCUUCUAGGAGACGUGGGAAAGUCUGUACGGAGUUUAUGGUUGUCAUGAUGGGGGUGCUAUAAGCACCGGAAGCUGGAGCUGCUUAGCAGUCUGCGAGGCCAUGCCUCCUGGACAGCCCUGGACAGCAGAGAACCGCUCUGUAAAAUGUCUAUUGAGCCCCACCAGGAGCGUUGACCCUGAAUGUCACUCAUCCCUCCAGCGCCACCACCUGCACGAAGUGGUUAAUGUCCCAUACCCUUGGACCUGAAAUGAUGUGCCCCUCCUCAGGAAUUCAGAAAGUCUU
Felis catus (domestic cat) is the source of this 1677-nucleotide long non-coding RNA. RefSeq lists it as uncharacterized. The transcript is spliced from 3 exons. Lineage: Eukaryota; Metazoa; Chordata; Mammalia; Carnivora; Felidae. The record is from RefSeq and is a predicted model, not a curated record.